CGUGUAGGCGGUUUGGUAAGUCAGAUGUGAAAUCCCUGGGCUCAACCCAGGAAGUGCAUUUGAUACUGCCUCACUAGAGUAUGGGAGAGGAGAGUGGAAUUCCCAGUGUAGAGGUGAAAUUCGUAGAUAUUGGGAGGAACACCCGUGGCGAAGGCGACUCUCUGGACCAAUACUGACGCUGAGACGCGAAAGCGUGGGGAGCAAACAGGAUUAGAUACCCUGGUAGUCC
This 229-nucleotide ribosomal RNA is filed under the name uncultured bacterium. Its description in RNAcentral is "partial 16S ribosomal RNA". It matches the Rfam family "Bacterial small subunit ribosomal RNA", at positions 568 to 796 of the family's 1533-position model. The record is from RNAcentral.